GGCAAAACGGAACUCUUGCAUUGUGACACUCUCUCUCCCUUCUGAUUACCUACCUCUUCCCAGAGGCAGCCUUUAAGCCCCAAGGUAUCACAGAGCCAAUUUCAGCUUGCGUUGUGCUGUGUGGCUGGGAGCACAGCCCCAAACCUUUUACCGUCUCCUCUCUGAAUCAUUCUUCAACCACCAUUCCCAACCCCAUAAAAGCCCUUUCUAUGUCAGAGCAGUAAACAACCUUCAAUUCUUCCUACCACCUCCCCUACACCCAUCCAGGGACCCAGUCACAGCUCAAUCAUCAGCCCAGCAGAAGCACUUAUCCAACCUCCCCUUAAAGCUCAAAGAACACCCACUGAAGUCUCAGACAGGGAGUGCUACAUGGAGGUCGCAUGUGGAAGCAAUCUUUCAUCUCCUCAGCCUUGACCUAUCUUUGGAGCCCCCUUCCCCAAAGCCAGGGAUGCAAGGACGGGGACAAGAGCAGCAGAACGGGCCUCAGACGUACCCACACCAAGAGCAAGGCCGCGGAUCUGUCCAUCUGAGAUAAUGCCCUGCGCUCUCUGAGCUCGCCAGGCUGACGCAGGAGUCUCUGGAGCCGACACUCCCAACAUCAACAUCCUCCUCAUGAUCGUGCCCGGGCACCGGAGGCUCAGAGGCUACUCUUCCAAGGUCACAUAGAGCCACGAGGACCAGGUAGGAACGGGACGUCAGCCACAUUUACGCCCCCACCCUCAGGUGUCACUUGUACCCUGCCCGCUAACCGUCAUUUGUACCCAGGACCCCACAUCCCCCACCCCAUCCCGCUUCUACAGAGUUCCUCAGGCUAGAAAGCAAAGCCUCCAGCUCCAGCACAGCUGAGGAUCUCAGACCCAGGAGCCGUCUCUGGUGAACUAGACGGAGCCCGGAGGGCCCAUCUCACCUUGCAGGCGAGCCCCGCGGCCAGGCGGUCAGAAACGACCGCGGAGGCGGCGGUAGCAGCAGCAGAACGGGCUGGAGAGCGCGAGGAAGAGCCCCGCGCCGCAUCAGCCUCGCGCCACGCCCUCUCCUCCUUCAUUGGCUUGAGGGGCGUUGAGGGGCGGGGCUAGGGCACUUCAGACCAAUGAGCUGUCUCUGAGAUCCACCAAUUAACGACGAGAUUCCACAUCACGUGUGCGCGGAGGCUGAGCCCCACGAGUCGACGUCACCCCAGCGGCACGAGCUUGGGUGAUGAAGCGGGAUGGGAGCUAUGUUGGAACCGCUGCUGGAAACCGACCAGAGCGACCUUCCCCAUGAGAUUCUGUGAGCUCUCAGCUACUGCUCCAGCACCCUGCCU
Mus musculus (house mouse) is the source of this 1300-nucleotide long non-coding RNA. RefSeq annotates it as predicted gene 14232. The record is from RefSeq and is a predicted model, not a curated record. Lineage: Eukaryota; Metazoa; Chordata; Mammalia; Rodentia; Muridae. The transcript is spliced from 3 exons.